UCAAAAACAUUGUUUUUUGAAUAUUAAUUUAAAAUAGGUUCUGCUCAAUGAUUAAAUGUUAAAUAGCUGCAGUAUUUUGACUGUACAAAGGUAGCAUAAUAAAUUGUUCUUUAAUUGGGAACUUGAAUGAAAGAAUUAAUGAAAUUUAAACUUUUUUAUAUUAAAAUUAAAAAUUUUAUUUUUAAGUAAGAAAGCUUAAAUAUAAAUAUGGGACGAGAAGACCCUAUAGAAUUUUAUAAAUAUUUAUGUUAAUUUAUUAUUUAUUUAAUUUUAAAUAUUUAUUUUAUUGUUUUGUUGGGGUGUGGGAGGAAUUUAUUUAA
Molecule: ribosomal RNA, 320 nt
Filed under: Odontotermes obesus
Lineage: Eukaryota; Metazoa; Arthropoda; Insecta; Blattodea; Termitidae
Description: partial 16S ribosomal RNA
Source: RNAcentral